AUGGAGAUCGCGGUGGGCGCGCUGUCGGGCAUGGUGGAGGCGCUGCCGGGCAAGCUGGGCGAGCUGCUGCAGCAGGAGUACGAGCUGCUCUCCGGCGCCCGCGGGGACGUUGCCUUCUUCCAGGACGAGCUGAGGACCAUGAACGCCGCCGUGCUCCGCUGCGAGGCCCUCGAGGAGCCCGACGUCCAGACCAGCAGCUGGAUCGCCCAGGUCCGCGACCUCGCCUUCGACAUCGAGGACUGGGUCGACCUCUUCGCCCACCGCGUCGACGCCGGCACCCACGACGCCACCUCCCACCGGUUCUCCCGCUGGAUCCGCCGGCUCACCACCAUCCCCGACCGCCACGUCAUCGCCACCGAGCUCAAGGAGCUCCGGGCGCGCGUCGUCGAGGUGAGCGAGCUGCGGAAGCGCUACAGCCUCGGCCCGCAGAUGCCGUCCCAUCACGCGCCCGCCGUCGACCCCCGCCUCUUCGCCUUCUACGCCGACAGCGCCGACCUCGUCGGCAUGGACGGGCCGCGGGACGAGGUGGCGGGGAUGGUGACCGGACAGGGCUCGGGCGGGCUCAAGGUCGUGUCCAUCGUCGGGAUGGCCGGCUCCGGGAAGACGACGCUUGCCAGGGAGGUGUACCGAUUGGUCAACGCGGGGUUUACGUGCCGCGCAUCGGUUUCGGUCGGCCGGAGCUCGGACGUCGCCAAGGUGCUCGGCGAUAUGCUGUCCCAAGUGGACAGCAGGGGACGAGGUGAUGCUGGCGAUGUGAAUCAAUUGAUUGGGAGGCUGAGGGAGCAUCUGCAAGAUAAGAGGUAUCUUCUAAUGAUUGAUGACCUGUGGAGUGUUCAAACCUGGGAGAUAAUCAAACACUGUUUUCCAGCGAACAAUCUCGGGAGUCGGAUAAUCACUACAACAAGAAUUGAGGCUGUUGCGAAAGCAGGUGCAGGUGACCAUGUUUACAAGACAUGUCUUCUUGGCAAAGACGAUGCCGAAACCUUGUUUACCCGAAGAGCUUUUGGGAGUGUGGGUGGAUGCCCUGCCCAUUUGAAGGAUGUCUCAGCUCAGAUCAUGAAAAAGUGUGGUGGUUUGCCACUCGCUAUAGUGAGCGUGGGUGGCUUAUUAGCCAGUAAGGCGCGCACAAGAGAUGAAUUUGAGCGGUUAGGACUGGAAUGGCGCACAAAUUCAGAGCUACAAGGGAUGAAACAGAUCAUCAAACUCAGCUACAGUGAUCUUCCUGCCAAUCUCAAGACAUGUCUAUUACACCUAAGCAUAUUUCCUGAGAACCAUGAGAUCGAAAUAGAGCGCCUUGCGAGGCGUUGGGUUGCAGAAGGGUUCAUCAAUGAACAGCGUGGCACAAGCUUGGAGGAAACAGCGAGAAACUACAUCAACGAGCUCAUUGGCAGAAACUUAAUCCAACCAUCACAGAUGAAUCAUGAUGGCACCCAUAGGAGCUAUGUUCUUCAUCCAGUAAUACACGAUUUCAUCAUUUGCAAGUCCAUGGAAGACAACUUUGUUGCUCUGGUACAUGCUCAACAGCAAGAUGUUCCACCUGGUAAUGGCACUGUCCGACGGCUAUCUUUGUUGAAUAGCAGUAAGCAUGAUCAGGCCACUGCACAAAUCGAUGGGGCAAAAGUAUCUCGUGCUCGCUCGAUCACCGUAUUUUCUCACACCGGUCGCACGCCUCGUCUGAAUGAACUCAGUGUACUGCGGGUUCUUGACCUUGAAGGCUGUCAAGGUCCACUGUGCCUUGAUGGUCUCUACAAAUUGCUGCUUCUGAGGUACUUGAACCUCAAGGGAACAGAUGUCAGUGAGCUCCCAGAACAGAUUGGGGAGCUAAGAUGCCUGGAGACAUUGGAUGUGAGAUCCACAAAGGUGAAAGUACUACCUCCUAGCAUUGUCAAGCUGGAAAAGUUAAUGCAUUUGCUCGCCGGGAACGCCAAGUUGCCGAGUGGGAUAACCAAGAUGAAGUCACUGCUGACACUUUCGUGCAGCAAUAUCGGGAAGAGCGCUGAUGCGGACAUCAUUCAAGAGCUCCGUAACAUGGUAAGCUUGAGGGAAAUGGAAUUAUUUUGUAAUGUUCCUCGGACGUCUGAGGAUAAGAAACAAGUCACAUUUCCGAGUGAUGGAUUUCAGAGUCUUAAGAAGCUUUCGAUAAGGUGCAGCUUGCCAUCAGUGACCUUUGUGACCGAUGCUUUAUCGAAGGUUGAAGUGCUUGAGCUAAAGUUUGAAGAAGGCCUUUCAGAGGAGUCGAGUGGUGUGUCUGGUAUAGAGCAUCUGUCAGGCCUGAAGCAUAUGAUCAUUGAGUUUUCACAGCAUGAUGCGGGUGCUGCAGCAGCAACUGCUGCAGUCAAGACGACUGCUGAGAAGGUCCAUCCUAAUUGUCAAGUGAUCAUCGUGAAUGUUGAUAAGAAGACCAACGAAUAG
This 2412-nucleotide ribosomal RNA is filed under the name Triticum aestivum (bread wheat). Its description in RNAcentral is "partial small subunit ribosomal RNA". The record is from RNAcentral. Lineage: Eukaryota; Viridiplantae; Streptophyta; Magnoliopsida; Poales; Poaceae.